Pelobates cultripes (western spadefoot toad) is the source of this 227-nucleotide non-coding RNA. Lineage: Eukaryota; Metazoa; Chordata; Amphibia; Anura; Pelobatidae. The record is from the annotation of a GenBank genome assembly.
CUCCAUUUUAGGGUUACUGUAGUUCAUAUAUGAAAAAGUAACACUUCUUUUACUUUAUUCAUUUUAGGACCUCCCUUAAUUUGGCAAACAUACAAGGCCAUUACUAAAGGGUGCAUACGUCAUGGAAAUUUUCCUGACUUAGUUCAAGAUGGCAUCUUCAAGUCUGAACAUCCUUAUCUGUUGUUUAUACUAAGACGUAAGUGCACAGUCGUGGGAGAUUCCCGGAU